This 62-nucleotide transfer RNA is filed under the name Ixodes nuttallianus. Its description in RNAcentral is "tRNA-Arg". The record is from RNAcentral. Lineage: Eukaryota; Metazoa; Arthropoda; Arachnida; Ixodida; Ixodidae.
AAAAUAAAGCGAUACUCAAAUUGCAAUCAGUUUCGACCUGAUCCUAGAUGAACUCUAUUUUU